Molecule: non-coding RNA, 399 nt
Organism: Manis javanica (Malayan pangolin)
Lineage: Eukaryota; Metazoa; Chordata; Mammalia; Pholidota; Manidae
Source: RefSeq, a predicted model, not a curated record
AGGUGUUCAAGGUAUUCAGCCUAAGGGACAAGCCAUCCAUAAGAGGAAAAACAGAAGGGCAUUUGUCCUGCAUGAUGUUACUGAACUGCUGAAUUGUCGCAUUCCACCAGGCAUUCUUCACCUAAGGGACAAGUGGACGGAUGCCAGGGGUCUGAAAGGAGCAGUGUUUGUCAUGGAUGGAGGUGUGUGUGAAGGAGGCAUCCUGAGCAGCAGGAUUAAAAAUCACAAAGAAAGAUGCCUGGAAGGGUAGCUGGCCCCACCACAUGUGGCCACACCCACAUGAAUGCCAACAGCAGGUCUCUGAGGGGAGGCACACAGCAGAAAGAGCACAGCCCGACUUGCAGAUGCCUUUUGGAGCUGGUAGCCUGGUAUGUGUUUUGAUUUGAGGAUUCCGCAAAU